GUGGGGAAUAUUGGGCAAUGGGCGAAAGCCUGACCCAGCAACGCCGCGUGAGGGAAGAAGGCCUUCGGGUUGUAAACCUCUGUCCUUGGUGACGAAAAAAAUGACGGUAGCCAAGGAGGAAGCCCCGGCUAACUACGUGCCAGCAGCCGCGGUAAUACGUAGGGGGCGAGCGUUGUCCGGAAUUACUGGGCGUAAAGGGUGCGUAGGUGGCCUUUUAAGUUGGAUGUGAAAUACCCGGGCUUAACUUGGGGGGUGCAUCUAAUACUGGAGGGCUAGAGUGCAGGAGAGGGAAGCGGAAUUCCUAGUGUAGCGGUGAAAUGCGUAGAUAUUAGGAGGAACACCAGUGGCGAAGGCGGCUUUCUGGACUGUAACUGACACUGAGGCACGAAAGCGUGGGGAGCAAACAGGAUUAGAAACCCGGGUAGUCC
RNAcentral lists this ribosomal RNA (428 nucleotides) under uncultured bacterium. Its description in RNAcentral is "partial 16S ribosomal RNA". It matches the Rfam family "Bacterial small subunit ribosomal RNA", at positions 354 to 796 of the family's 1533-position model. The record is from RNAcentral.